Molecule: ribosomal RNA, 550 nt
Filed under: uncultured bacterium
Lineage: Bacteria
Description: bacterial SSU rRNA
Rfam family: Bacterial small subunit ribosomal RNA
Source: RNAcentral
UAGGGAAUCUUCGGCAAUGGGGGCAACCCUGACCGAGCAACGCCGCGUGAGUGAAGAAGGUUUUCGGAUCGUAAAGCUCUGUUGUAAGUCAAGAACGAGUGUGAGAGUGGAAAGUUCACACUGUGACGGUAGCUUACCAGAAAGGGACGGCUAACUACGUGCCAGCAGCCGCGGUAAUACGUAGGUCCCGAGCGUUGUCCGGAUUUAUUGGGCGUAAAGCGAGCGCAGGCGGUUUGAUAAGUCUGAAGUUAAAGGCUGUGGCUCAACCAUAGUUCGCUUUGGAAACUGUCAAACUUGAGUGCAGAAGGGGAGAGUGGAAUUCCAUGUGUAGCGGUGAAAUGCGUAGAUAUAUGGAGGAACACCGGUGGCGAAAGCGGCUCUCUGGUCUGUAACUGACGCUGAGGCUCGAAAGCGUGGGGAGCGAACAGGAUUAGAUACCCUGGUAGUCCACGCCGUAAACGAUGAGUGCUAGGUGCUGGAUCCUUUCCGGGAUUCAGUGCCGCAGCUAAUGCAUUAAGCACUCCGCCUGGGGAGUACGACCGCAAGGUUG